UGAGGACUUCUUACGCAGUCGGGCAUGCAAACUAUGCAUACUCAGGAAGAGGUCAGCCAGAGGCCUUUAAUACCUAUGAGACCUUGACUACAUGAGCACUGAGGAGAAAUUGCCAGGCAGGCUUUGGAAGCAGAACUAUAACCUGUAAUUUGAUGAGUCUAGAAAAUCCUGAACAUUGGCUCCAACUCAGUUCUUCCCAGCCCUCCAUAAGCUGGAUUAAAGGCUAGUAUGAUUAAUAUAUGCAAAAGGUUGAAUUCAUCAAGCACCAGAUUGGGGUCAGAAGGAAUUUCCAUUAAAAGCAAACUGGAACUAACCUGAGGAAGCCUGGAGGAGGAGCUGAGGGGGAAGGAAGAGGGGGCUGAACAAUGAAACAUUUCUCCAGAGCAUUUGGAAUGGAUCACUCUCAUAUUCAAACUACAAGCAAACCACUCUGACACUGCAAUUUGGAUGACUUUAUUCCAAUACGGUUUCUGAGUCCUGAAGAACUAUACCAAUUUUCCCUUCUAUGUUUUCAUCAAUGUGGAAAAGACUCCUUUCCUCUGUGUGGAGUCCAAACCCAGAAUACUUGUGAAAAACUCAAAGUACAAAAAGGAGAGAUUUUGAAAGUGAAGAAAGCACUUGAGUCACUACCAAGAAGAAAAAAAAAAAAAAAAAAAACCAACCCAAGAGGAAAAGACCACCUACAACUGAUGAGGCGCCAGACACCUGCCUUUAAUUGAGUGCCUAAAGAAAACAGUAUAUGGCCACCCUUUAAUUUGUAAUGAGUUCUGACUUGCUUUGACACAAGCUAUGUGAACUGCCAUGUGUGCUGUUAGUUGAUGGUAAGAAGGAAAUUCUUAUGCUGGAGCAUGUUGUGUAUCUGUGCAGACCUGAAGCAUGGUCCAAAAUGUGAAAAUGAGAAAAUCCUGCCUGGCUGAACAGAAAAUGUGAAAAUGUGCAGUACAGGAUACACUGGACAGGUAUACUAAUCCUAUUGAUUGAAGGAUAACAGCAUAAGUGCCUUUGUCACAAAACUGCUAAUUCUGUCUUUCUCCUCCUUCCCGAAGCUAAUGAAGGAGAAGAUAGUGAUUUUAUGAUCUAAUACAGAAAAAUAAAUUACUUGCUUACCUGCUUGGAAUUGAAGCAAACACAGAUACAAGAAUAGACAAGGUCAACCUUAGUCCUGAUUUUUUUUUUUUUUUUUUUUUUUAACUCAGGCUGUCUCCAUUGUUUCCUAUGUCAUUGUAUUUCUGACAUUUUCUCCUGAAGAGUUUAUUCUAAUAUAUUGUGGCCAAGAUCCUAGCCCACUUUGCAUUCCUACCUUUCUAUCACUGCUAGAAAUAUUACUGCCUUUCUAUCCUACUGAGUUAGAAAAAAGCUAUUGUCUGUGACUGCUUUCUCCAUCACCCCACACAUCCAGCUCUUCUCUGCUCUCCUUUCAAGCUAUUUCCAAGAUCUUGUUCCACUGCCCAAACAGCUUUUCUCGCUUCCCUCAUUUCUCCCCAUCACAGCCUUCUCUCUUCUUCUUGCAUGCACGAGUGCAUACACACUUUCUGCCAAAAUCAUCUUCAUAGCUGCUUAUUCUGCCUGUCAAACCUGCCUCCUCAGGGCCUUCUUUGCCUUCCCCUUCACUACCUAAUCUGCUCAAGCUCUUACUGAAAGCCAGGAAGUCCUCUCAGCUCUGCCUUCCUGCCCUGCUCCCACAGAUUCUCCCCUUGCCAGCCAUGUGAACUGCCCUUUUAGCUACUUCUCACACCGGCUCGCCUGUUGCCAUUAAUGUUGUGCUCCUACACAAGGAAUAACAUUUUUAUACUACUGUACAAAAGCCAUGUUCUUGUCCUUCAUCUAAAGGGACUAAAUAGUAGCUUGACAAAUGCUGCCAAUAUCUGGUCUAUUAAUUAAAUAAUUUGCUAUGGUAUGAAAAGUACAUUACUUUUUAAGCCAGUGCCAUCACAUAACUCAGACAGUGAGCCUACUAAUUCACAUUAACACCAUUACUUCACUCAUGGGCCCUUUCCAGUCCUCCUUUCUGCUGUUACUACACAUUUGGCAUCAUGAUCUUGAAAAUCUUUUUGUGUUAUUUUAUUGUUGCAGUUAUUGUUCUGCAGUAUCUGCUACCGGUAGCUCGAGAUAAAGACGAGAUGCAAUUCCUGAGAGAGAAAACCACAACUCUAGAGUGAGCAUAGGUCGGUGAGGAAACUUACCAUCAGUUAAUUGACUUGGGGCCAGAUAUGCAUUUAUUUCCUUUGCAGUUUAUUUUGUAAACCCAAAAUCCCUGAAAGACUACUAGCUUUGAUUUGAUACAAGGAUUUUUAAAUCCAGACAAUGAUGUUACUUUAUCAUAAUUUGUGCUUACAGUCUUGUGUUAAAUUGCUUUGGACUUACUUCAGAGAACAAAUAAUGUCAGCUGUUUAUUGUACAUCUUGCUUUAUAUAAGAUGGGUCUUGGCUAAAUGCCAUCAUGACAUUUCUGGUCUAAAACUGCUCUUCCUUUAAAUCAGAAUCCAUCAGAUCAUAGUAGUAUAGGAUCAGGAUGAGGAAAAAAAGUAGCCCUAGUUAUGCGUAAUUUUAGGUGUAUAACAGUCACCAAAUGACUCACUAGCACGUUGACAUUUCUAAGUUAACAAAUAAAGCCUUCAGCCUUUCAAUUACAUCCAUUUGGGAAGAUCCCUAGGAUUGUACAAAGUUGCACUGGAGCUGGAGAAAUUAUUCUUGUAUAUAUUUAGGUGUAAAUUAAAGUGUAGUUCAUGUAAGGCUAAGGUUUGUGUGUAUUUCCAUACCAAGCGAGAAAUACAAGCUUAGGUUUUUAGAGUGCUUUGUAUUUGCAAGCUGCUUUCAUAAAGGUAAUUAGUUUGCAAGAGAUCUCCAGUGUGCUUGAUAUGAGAGACACAAACAGGUCUUUCAUCAUGCUCAUUACACAAGAGUAAUCUUUAUAUCAAGUACCCACUGAUAAUGUUAAUAGCUAUGAUAAAACACAGUAUAAUGACAAGUGCCUUCCAACAACCUACAGUAAAUCAUGCAAAGCAAUUGACUUAAAAGGGCUAUUCCGAAUCCUUUCAUUAUACUUUUACAAAGCAACAUCAUUGCAAGCUGGAUUUUGUAGUAAGUGUACAGUGCAGGAGGCCUUGAGAAGGAGGAAAAUUGGGCUUUGCAUUCUGCUAGAUGAAGACUGCUUAAUCUUUCAGAACUUCCCAGCCAUGGGCAGAGAUAUCAUGUUACACCGACUAUUGUAUGAGAAAAAAUGCAAAGGCUUUUAGAUAGACCUGUGUGUAGCAGUGAUGCCAGACGCUAUUUUCUUCUCAUCUUACAGCAUUAAAAGAUGAUGUAAAACAGGAUGUAAAUGAUCUUAAAUCUUCUGAACAUACUAGAAGGUAAUUUUAUUUAAAGAGAAAGCAUUAUUUUAAAAACAAAGGAUAGAUUCUUAAGAGUUACAUGCAAGAUUGGUCUAAUUGAAAGACAGGAAAAAUAUUUUAUGUUAUCCUUAGUUUGAUUCUUUGUUUGACUCUUUCUUAAUAAAACAUCAGUUUCUUCUGCUGCUGCUUUAGCAUCUGGAGAACGGUCUCCAACCAUUUCUUCUACGAGUAAAAUUGCAUAGGAAAGAGUUUGUAGGUUCCGGAAUAAGGGUAGAAUUAUAAAGGAGAGAGCUUGUAGGACAGGUCUACAAUUACAAAGUUCUCCCAUUUUUGUUUCCAUGAAAAAAAGAAAAAUACUUUAAAAAUGCAUUCCAUAAACUGAAAAAAUAGCAAAAGGGGUUCGGGGCAGAUGAUUGUCAAUGAUUCAAAGUCCAGUGAACUCAUCUGAGAGACUGCUGCUGACUCCAGCAGACUUAUUGUUAUCAUUUCUUUUGGAUUAAUUUCACAUUUAAUUUUCUAAUUAUUUUGAUUUUUUAACUAUAAAAUAUAUUUUAACUCAAAAUAAACACACUAAAUCCCAUAAAAUUGCUAUGCUUUUCUUUUUUUAAUUGCCACUGUAGGCUUUGGGUAUAUGUCAUUGUCAAGAGAGGUUAUCAUUGUUUAUUCUGAAAGUUCUGAAAACAGAAAGGAUAGGUAAAAAGAAAAGGAAUGUACUUUUCUCCAGCUUCCAUACUGAUGAGUUUUGUUGUACCAGAUUCUUUUGUUAAUGUUAUUCACCUUUGCAUUAUUUUCCAGUCCCUGUGGCACAAACGCUGUAUGGUCCAGAUUAUCUCCCAAAGAGAAGAAUGCUUUCCCACCUUCCAACUAUUGAGAAAGAGGUAUCGAUACACAGAGGAGGGAUAUACAAUAAUGAAAGACUCUUAAACUGACACUUCUCAGCAGAAGUAUCAUAGGAAUAACUGAGACAACAUGGAGUCCUGAGAUACCCUCUUCCUCUGUCCCAGGUUUCUCCAGCAUAUGCAUUUCAGCUAUUGUAUGUCCGACCCCUCGAUUAGUUUCUUAGGAUACUCAGACCACGUAGAACUGUCUGGGCCCGGAGGGCACUGUUAGCCCUGCCUGUACCUGCCCAGUCCCCUGGGGCUCCCCCUGCCCUGCCCAUGGCCCAGGACCCCAUCUCAGCCCCCCGGGGCUGUCAGCCCCUGCCUCAGCAAUGCCACAGAAGGGCCAGUCUCCAGCUCCCCACAGCCCUGCCCUGCCCAGCCAUGGGUCCUGCUGAACCAGGCCUACGUCCCAGACCACCCCCAUCCCCAGGCCCCUGCCCAUCAGUCUCUGGACCCGAUCCUGGCCCUGACCUCUGGAUUGACUUCCCAGCUUGACCCCAGACCUGCCUCAUCACCAUUGCCUUAUGGUCUGGACUCCUGGUCGGAUCUGGCCACCGCCUCCGGGUCUGUCCUGCUCCCUUGCUUAGGAGGGACAGGCCCUGCCGGCCCCAGGGUCACUCCUGGCUGCCCUCCCUCAGGGAGCAGCCCUCUCUUACUCCUCCUUGGCAGUAAUUCCCACUUCAUAAAGCACCUAAAUAUCCUCUUGCUGCGUGUUGAAUUUCCACCUUCCUGAGGUGAGGCACCUAC
Molecule: long non-coding RNA, 4959 nt
Organism: Aquila chrysaetos chrysaetos
Lineage: Eukaryota; Metazoa; Chordata; Aves; Accipitriformes; Accipitridae
Exons: 4
Source: RefSeq, a predicted model, not a curated record